AGAUUGAACGCUGGCGGCAUGCCUUACACAUGCAAGUCGAACGGCAGCACGGGAGCAAUCCUGGUGGCGAGUGGCGAACGGGUGAGUAAUACAUCGGAACGUGCCCAAUAGUGGGGGGAUAACCCGGCGAAAGCCGGACUAAUACCGCAUACGACCUACGGGUGAAAGCGGGGGAUCGCAAGACCUCGCGCUAUCGGAGCGGCCGAUGUCAGAUUAGCUUGUUGGUGGGGUAAAAGCCUACCAAGGCAACGAUCUGUAGCUGGUCUGAGAGGACGACCAGCCACACUGGGACUGAGACACGGCCCAGACUCCUACGGGAGGCAGCAGUGGGAAUUUGGACAAUGGGCGCAAGCCUGAUCCAGCCAUGCCGCGUGCGGGAAGAAGGCCUUCGGGUGUAACCGCUUUGUCAGGAAGAACGCUCGUGGCUAACGUACCCGAGUAAUGACGUACCGUGAAGAA
Molecule: ribosomal RNA, 459 nt
Filed under: uncultured soil bacterium
Lineage: Bacteria
Description: bacterial SSU rRNA
Rfam family: Bacterial small subunit ribosomal RNA
Source: RNAcentral